Molecule: ribosomal RNA, 441 nt
Filed under: uncultured bacterium
Lineage: Bacteria
Description: bacterial SSU rRNA
Rfam family: Bacterial small subunit ribosomal RNA
Source: RNAcentral
CCUACGGGAGGCUGCAGUGGGGAAUAUUGCACAAUGGACGAAAGUCUGAUGCAGCGAUUCUGCGUGGAGGAUGAAGCAUUACGGUGUGUAAACUCCUUUUCUGGUAGAAGACGAAUGACGGUAUACCAGGAAUAAGGGACGGCUAACUAUGUGCCAGCAGCCGCGGUAAUACAUAGGUCCCAAGCGUUAUCCGGAUUUACUGGGCGUAAAGAGUCUGUAGCCUGAUAUGUAAGUCUGUUUUCAAAUACUCCGACUCAAUCGGAGAAAGGGGAUAGAUACUGCAUAUCUGGAAGUUAUUGGGGGUUAGUGGAAUUUCCGGUGGAGCGGUGAAAUGCGUUGAUAUCGGAAAGAACGCCGAAAGUGAAAACAGCUAACUACAAUAAACUUGACGGUCAGAGACGAAAGCUUGGGGAGCAAACGGGAUUAGAUACCCCUGUAGUC